GAGUUUGAUCGUGGCUCAGGAUGAACGCUGGCGGCGUGCCUAAUACAUGCAAGUAGAACGCUGAAGCUUGGUGCUUGCACCGAGCGGAUGAGUUGCGAACGGGUGAGUAACGCGUAGGUAACCUGCCUGGUAGCGGGGAUAACUAUUGGAACGAUAGCUAAUACCGCAUAACAGUAGAUAUUGCAUGAUAUCUGCUUGAAAGGUGCAAUUGCAUCACUACCAGAUGGACCUGCGUUGUAUUAGCUAGUUGGUGAGGUAACGGCUCACCAAGGCGACGAUACAUAGCCGACCUGAGAGGGUGAUCGGCCACACUGGGACUGAGACACGGCCCAGACUCCUACGGGAGGCAGCAGUAGGGAAUCUUCGGCAAUGGGGGAACCCUGACCGAGCAACGCCGCGUGAGUGAAGAAGGUUUUCGGAUCGUAAAGCUCUGUUGUAAGAGAAGAACGAGUGUGAGAGUGGAAAGUUCACACUGUGACGGUACCUUA
This 488-nucleotide ribosomal RNA is filed under the name uncultured microorganism. RNAcentral's name for it is "bacterial SSU rRNA". It matches the Rfam family "Bacterial small subunit ribosomal RNA", at positions 9 to 482 of the family's 1533-position model. The record is from RNAcentral.